ACGUAGGGUGCAAGCGUUAUCCGGAUUCAUUGGGUUUAAAGGGUGCGCAGGCGGGAUCUUAAGUCAGUGGUGAAAUCCCGGAGCUCAACUCCGGAACUGCCAUUGAUACUGAGAUUCUUGAAUGUGGUUGAUGUGGGCGGAAUGUGCCAUGUAGCGGUGAAAUGCUUAGAUAUGGCACAGAACACCGAUCGUGAAGACAGCUCACAAAACCAUUAUUGACGCUCAGGCACGACAGCGUGGGGAUCAAACA
This 250-nucleotide ribosomal RNA is filed under the name uncultured bacterium. RNAcentral describes it as "partial 16S ribosomal RNA". It matches the Rfam family "Bacterial small subunit ribosomal RNA", at positions 525 to 774 of the family's 1533-position model. The record is from RNAcentral.